Molecule: long non-coding RNA, 1143 nt
Organism: Onychomys torridus (southern grasshopper mouse)
Lineage: Eukaryota; Metazoa; Chordata; Mammalia; Rodentia; Cricetidae
Exons: 3
Source: RefSeq, a predicted model, not a curated record
GCACUUCGGGGAGACACAUGCCCCUGGACAGGAAAAGGGGUCUCUGCUCUCACUUUAGUGAAAGGAGCAGUGUGCCGAGGCCAGAGGGCUACCCGGGCUUUCAGGAGGGAGCGAGGGAUGGGGACCCAGUCAGGGUGGAGCUGGGUAAUGCGGUGAUGCAAUUAGGAUCACCAGGCUGUAGGGAAGAGAAAGCUGUGGGACAUGGUGUGGGUAUGGGUGGUCCCGAACUCAGGGCUGAGGCAGACGGACUCCCAAGCACUCACUGCAGCAGCUGAAGAAGCCGCUCCCCAUACUGCAGCCGGAAGUAUUCGGCCAGGUCCUCCUCUUCCAUGAUGCCCAAACUCAUGGUGGCGGCUACCUACCAGCCCAGCUGGCCUUCUUUCAGUAUGAAACGAUGAGCGGCAGAGCCACGGGGCACUCGGGGGUGGUGGCUGGGUCCUUGCCCUCCUCUCCCCCUGCUUUCAAAGUCCCACUGAGAGUGGAUGUCUGAGAGACGCAGCAGAAGCCAGCCAGAGGCUGCCUUAGUGUGAUGCGCUCCUGCAGUGAUAGGAGACCUGGUUACCUAGCAACAAACUGGCCGGGUUCUGUGGACAGCAUCUGAGACCCACGGGUUGCCCUCUGACCUGUAUCCCCACUAACCGCAGUCUCUAACUGAGGUCACCUCUCUGUUUCCGCUCGCACCCUUCGGGAACUCUGGGAAGAAGGUGGUGGCUUGGUUUGGAGGGGCUGUGGGAUGAUGCCAGUCUUUGAGGAAGUUGGGUGCUUCUGGAAUCAUCUGCUACUCUGAGAUAUGCUGUGAUCAUGUACUGUGAAAAUUCAAGAAGAUGGUUGAUUUCGAUGAUUUGAGUGUAACGUGAUGCUAUGCAGUUUGCAGAUGGGAUGAAGCUGAUCUGCAUGCACGGACGUGAGAAGUGGGGAUGACAGAUGAAGAGCUGCAGAGCAGCAUGCUUCGCAGGAUGCAGCAUGUGCAUGUGUGUGGUGGAGGACAGGCAGGCUGUGGGAGGCCAUCCCCAGAGCUCUGGAGACGAGAAUGGCAUGGGGUGGGGAAGGUGUUUGGAAUUUUAAAACAUUUUUUUUACUCUCCAUACUGCUUGUUUAUAUUGUCUUACAUGGUUUCGUUGUUUUCAUUAAAACCACACACAC